AAUGAACGCUGGCGGCGCGCCUAAUACAUGCAAGUCGAGCGAGAAGACGUAGCAAUACGUUUGUAAAGCGGCGAACGGGUGAGGAAUACAUGGGUAACCUACCCUCGAGUGGGGAAUAACUAGCCGAAAGGUUAGCUAAUACCGCGUACGCUCCUUGGACUUCGGUUCAGGGAGGAAAGCGAUACCGUGGGUAUCGCGCCCUU
RNAcentral lists this ribosomal RNA (203 nucleotides) under uncultured bacterium. Its description in RNAcentral is "partial 16S ribosomal RNA". It matches the Rfam family "Bacterial small subunit ribosomal RNA", at positions 29 to 220 of the family's 1533-position model. The record is from RNAcentral.